UAAGACAGAGGUGCCGAGCGUUAGGCGGAAUCACUGGGCUUAAAGCGUGUGUAGGCGGGCCGUUAAGUACCUUGUGAAAUCCCCCGGCUCAACCGGGGAACGGCUGGGUAUACUGGCGGUCUUGGGCCACCUAGGGGCGAGCGGAACAAGCGGUGGAGCGGUGAAAUGCGUAGAUAUCGCUUGGAACGCCGACGGUGAAAACAGCUCGCUGGGGGUGUGCCGACGCUGAGACACGAAAGCCAGGGGAGCGAACGGGAUUAGAUACCCCGGUAGUCCUGGCCCUAAACGAUGUCCACUAGGUCGCCGCCCCUUUGACGGGGGUGGCGGCCGAAGCAAAAGUGCUAAGUGGACCGCCUGGGAAGUACGGUCGCAAGGCUA
Molecule: ribosomal RNA, 378 nt
Filed under: uncultured bacterium
Lineage: Bacteria
Description: bacterial SSU rRNA
Rfam family: Bacterial small subunit ribosomal RNA
Source: RNAcentral